AGAGUUUGAUCCUGGCUCAGGAUGAACGCUGGCGGCGUGCUUAACACAUGCAAGUCGAACGAACCUUCGGGUUAGUGGCGGACGGGUGAGUAACGCGUGAGAAUCUGCCCUCAGGAGGGGGAUAACAGUUGGAAACGACUGCUAAUACCCCAUAUGCCGAGAGGUGAAAUGAAUUUCGCCUGGGGAUGAGCUCGCGUCUGAUUAGCUUGUUGGUGGGGUAAUAGCCUACCAAGGCUUCGAUCAGUAGCUGGUCUGAGAGGACGAUCAGCCACACUGGGACUGAGACACGGCCCAGACUCCUACGGGAGGCAGCAGUGGGGAAUUUUCCGCAAUGGGCGAAAGCCUGACGGAGCAACGCCGCGUGAGGGAUGGAGGCCUUUGGGCUGUAAACCUCUUUUCUCAAGGAAGAAGAUCUGACGGUACUUGAGGAAUAAGCCACGGCUAAUUCCGUGCCAGCAGCCGCGGUAAUACGGGAGUGGCAAGCGUUAUCCGGAAUUAUUGGGCGUAAAGCGUCCGCAGGCGGCCGUUUAAGUCUGUUGUUAAAUCGUGGAGCUCAACUCCAUCACGGCAAUGGAAACUGUUCGGCUUGAGUAUGGUAGGGGCAGAGGGAAUUUCCGGUGUAGCGGUGAAAUGCGUAGAUAUCGGGGAGAACACCAGUGGCGAAAGCGCUCUGCUGGGCCAUUACUGACGCUCAUGGACGAAAGCCAGGGGAGCGAAAGGGAUUAGAUACCCCUGUAGUCCUGGCCGUAAACGAUGAACACUAGAUGUUGGGGGAAUCGACCCCCUCGGUGUCGUAGCUAACGCGUUAAGUGUUCCGCCUGGGGAGUACGCACGCAAGUGUGAAACUCAAAGGAAUUGACGGGGGCCCGCACAAGCGGUGGAGUAUGUGGUUUAAUUCGAUGCAACGCGAAGAACCUUACCAAGGCUUGACAUCCUGCGAAUCUCUAAGAAAUUAGAGAGUGCCUUCGGGAACGCAGUGACAGGUGGUGCAUGGCUGUCGUCAGCUCGUGUCGUGAGAUGUUGGGUUAAGUCCCGCAACGAGCGCAACCCACGUUUUUAGUUGCCAGCAUUCAGUUGGGCACUCUAGAAAGACUGCCGGUGACAAACCGGAGGAAGGUGUGGACGACGUCAAGUCAUCAUGCCCCUUACGCCUUGGGCUACACACGUACUACAAUGCUGCGGACAAAGAGUAGCGAUCUUGCGAAAGUUAGCUAAUCUCACAAACCGUGGCUCAGUUCAGAUCGUAGGCUGCAACUCGCCUACGUGAAGGAGGAAUCGCUAGUAAUCGCAGGUCAGCAUACUGCGGUGAAUACGUUCCCGGGCCUUGUACACACCGCCCGUCACACCAUGGAAGUUGGCCAUGCCCGAAGUCGUUACUCUAACCUUUUGGAAGAGGGCGCCGAAGGCAGGGCUAAUGACUGGGGUGAAGUCGUAACAAGGUAACC
Molecule: ribosomal RNA, 1445 nt
Filed under: uncultured bacterium
Lineage: Bacteria
Description: bacterial SSU rRNA
Rfam family: Bacterial small subunit ribosomal RNA
Source: RNAcentral